Molecule: long non-coding RNA, 2434 nt
Organism: Gallus gallus (chicken)
Lineage: Eukaryota; Metazoa; Chordata; Aves; Galliformes; Phasianidae
Exons: 4
Source: RefSeq, a predicted model, not a curated record
GAGCCUCAUAUAGCUGAAGGGACGGCAGCCUCACGCUCCGUGUUCUGCCUUGCAGGUUCAGCACCACCUUCUCCAGCACACUCUGCAGCAGCUGGAUGGAGGAUGGGCUCUCAGACAGAACUACUCAAGAUUAUCUGUGAGACUUACAACAUAGCUCAAGGAGACUAAGCUUUUACUUCAGUCUUGACUCCCUGAAGCUGCUCUAUACCACAGCAGAUCUUCCCAUCACUUCUCAGUUGGCUCUGCGAUACCAUCCUCAGCACUAUUUUCUGUCUGCAGAGCAUUUCUGUAGUUCAGAAGUGCCAAGGCUCACUCACAGCUGGUGCCUCCAAGUAUCGUCAUCCAAACUCACCAGGAUUUGGUAUCAGAGAGCUGCUGAUUUUCCUCACUAGCCACAGCAAGAAUUUCUUAGUGAGAGCAAUUUUAACACUCUUACACCAGCUUCGUACUCUUGGCAUGGAGGAAAAGGUGGUGGAAACAAUCCUGGCACCAUGGCAAAUAAUGCUGGUCAUUUGUGCUGCAGUGCUGAUCAUGAGCUUCCUUAUGGUCCUGCCCCCUGCAGUAGUGGUGAUCUGGAGGAUGAAGCGUGUGCCUCAGAUCUCACUGCAUGGCUCGGUGUGAGCCAGCCACACAUUCUUUCGAAGGCUGCUUCAGAACUAUGAAAUCUCUCAAGAUCACCAUUACUGCUCAAGGUCCAUCCCAAACUCACUGUUUUCCUGCUCCAUCGCUGUUAAGUCCCAGUAAAAAGGGAAUGUGUCAGAUUUUGUUUUCAUUUGAUGCAGGGCUUUUCCUUCCUUUUUCUGUCUACGCUGUAUUAUUGUUGGUAAUGUAAGUAAUACACUUAAUUCCUACAUCGUCAUUUUCUCUUUCACUAUAAUGAACUGAAAACAAUACUGAAAAGUAAGCACUGUACAGUAUUGUAUUCCCUUAACUAGUAACCAGUGAAGUUUGCCUCUCUGUAGUUACGCUGCAAAUAUUACCAAAGCCUUCGAGAUCACUGACAAGUUGUGGAUGUAUCAAAGUAAGCAGUAUAGCCUGGGGAGCUGAUGGUUUAGUCUGGGUGUACUAUGAAACCUACAAAAAUUGGGAAUGGUGCAACGAAUAAGCAUCUCGUUCUUAUUUUUCUGAUUUGAAGUUAUCGGCAUAUAAUGUUGCUUUACUGCGAUAUGAAUAUUCUCUUUGUUAUAUCCUGAGUGUCAGGAUGCAAAGCCUUUCCUGCUCCAGAGGUGAAACAAGAGGCUUAGCUCAAUGCUCAGACAUGCCCAGCCAGAUGCCAGCUCGUAGUUAAUGCAAGCAUACGGCAACUAUUUCCUUAAAUUACAUUAUGCAAAUUUAGUCUGGGAAGUAACGUCAUUAAAUUUACUUUAGUUUUUAACUGUGUUGUACAGGCUUAUUGGUUCAACUGCCCCUUCUCACAUAUAAAUAACAAAUUGGAUGGUGGGAAUAGAGCAAAACUACUUCUCUGCAAUUUUAUAACAAUAAUAAUUUUCAGCUUAAUAUCAAAUUCAUGCAAUAUCAUAUUAAAGCCUUCCAGCCUGUUUCUUCCACAUUAAGUGAAGCUUAUUAGUAAGAUUUUUUAUGCAAAGAUUUAACAGUUCCUAUUACUUUAUAAGAAGAAUGGGCUUGAGUUCCUUAUGAAGUCCAAUACUGUGUUUCUUUUCCUUUGUUAGUUAGUUUGGAAAGUUGAUAGAUUAGCUCAAUAAAACUCAGGAAAUUAUUUUUAGUACCAGUAAAAAAAUGAUAAUGGAAAGCGCUCAGUGCCGCUGGCAGAUAUUGCAUUUGAGCAUCAGCUGAUAAUGAUUUGGCUGGAAAUGAAAGACUCGAGGACAUUAUAACUUCGUUUGAUACAGACAAUUUGUUUGUCAGAAAUAAACACCAAUCUCUGAAAAACAUACAGCAUUUUUUCUCACAAAUGCCGUAAUUUAAACUACAGCCUUACAGCUCCUAUGCAGCCAAAGCAGUCAACUCGUCCCUUGCUUGAUGUAAUUACUACACUAACAAAUAGUCAUAUGACUGGCUGGUUCUGGGUCCAAAAACAGCGGGUGGAUUUUUGCUUGCAAUAACAGCAUAAUAAGCCUGAAAGGCAGUGUGUAAUUUUUCCUAAAUAAUAUUACUUACUUGAAUCAUUUAAGCAGUUAAUGGGGAUUAAGUUCAACUAAACAUCAUGUAUACUGUAAUUGCUGUCUGCAUCUGAAAGAUUCACAAGAAGAGGGAGGAGGUAAAGAGAAAGGAAAUACGAACGGAUGGGCUGGUUGUCUUCAGACUCAUGGCUUCAAUGUUUGCUCAACAGAUGAAAAGUAAAACAAAACCCUGAGCUCAGAUUCCACUGAAAACCAAGCAAGCAAUAACUAAGCUUUCUGUUUAGAUUUCAUCAUAAUUCACAUACACGUCUGCAAUGUAGCAACAGCUCCACAAAUAAACAGCAUUUCCAGCA